GACGAACGCUGGCGGCGUGCUUAACACAUGCAAGUCGAACGCUGAAGCUUGGUGCUUGCACUGGGUGGAUGAGUGGCGAACGGGUGAGUAAUACGUGAGUAACCUGCCCUUGACUCUGGGAUAAGCCUGGGAAACUGGGUCUAAUACUGGAUAUGACAUGCCACUGCAUGGUGGUGUGUGGAAAGGGUUUUACUGGUUUUGGAUGGGCUCACGGCCUAUCAGCUUGUUGGUGGGGUAAUGGCCUACCAAGGCGACGACGGGUAGCCGGCCUGAGAGGGUGACCGGCCACACUGGGACUGAGACACGGCCCAGACUCCUACGGGAGGCAGCAGUGGGGAAUAUUGCACAAUGGGCGGAAGCCUGAUGCAGCGACGCCGCGUGAGGGAUGACGGCCUUCGGGUUGUAAACCUCUUUCAGCACGGAAGAAGCGAGAGUGACGGUACGUGCAGAAGAAGCGCCGGCUAACUACGCG
Molecule: ribosomal RNA, 472 nt
Filed under: uncultured bacterium
Lineage: Bacteria
Description: partial 16S ribosomal RNA
Rfam family: Bacterial small subunit ribosomal RNA
Source: RNAcentral